UACGUAGGGUGCGAGCGUUAAUCGGAAUUACUGGGCGUAAAGCGAGCGCAGACGGUUAAUUAAGUCAGAUGUGAAAUCCCCGAGCUUAACUUGGGAAGUGCAUUUGAAACUGGUAGACUAGAGUGUGUCAGAGGGAGGUAGAACUCCACGUGUAGCAGUGAAAUGCGUAGAGAUGUGGAAGAAUACCGAUGGCGAAGGCAGCCUCCUGGGAUAACACUGACGUUCAUGCUCGAAAGCGUGGGUAGCAACAGG
Molecule: ribosomal RNA, 252 nt
Filed under: uncultured bacterium
Lineage: Bacteria
Description: partial 16S ribosomal RNA
Rfam family: Bacterial small subunit ribosomal RNA
Source: RNAcentral